CGUUUUGUCUGCAGGCUGUCGAGAGCAUCAAGGCGGUGGUAGCACUGUGCGAUUCAGCUGAUGAGGAGCUUCGCCACGUCGCCAUAGAAACACUACUCACGCUUGGUGAGGAGGGUCGGCUGGCGUACGAGCGGCUGGACACCGUACCGGGGGAAAUGAUCCGUCUGGGCACACGGCGAGGAAACGCCGUCACCACUGCCUUCUGAGCCACGGCUCCACCGAGAAGACGAGAGAUCAAACUCCAGCCUGAGCUCUGAGGAUGACACUGCCCCCUCAGCUCCACGCCACACUGCACACCUCACAGGCUGUUCUUUUACCGAUCAGUUUAUUGAUCUCCACCUGCCGCAUUAGAUCACUGUUGUUACUGAUACUGCCUCUUACAAGAAACUAACACCAAACAAACUGUCUUAACCACAAAGGCAUACAACCUAUACCCCUCCUGCACACACACACACAAAUGUUAUUCCGCCACACCUUUACUCCCGCACAACCCCCCCCUCACCCCCUUCCUCCCCCUGCGUUCUGAGCCAGGAACACUGGUCACGUUGAGUUUUCACUUGAGCACAGAUUUGACGGGACACGAAGCCACUGAACGCUGCAGAAAACUGUGGAAACUGGAAGCAAUGCGUCUUCACACAAACCUGUCGACAAACAACACGCCACCGCACACAACACACGUAUCACUCACCCACUGAUUAACUCAUAUUGGCUGUUGCAGCGUCAGUCGUGUCAAGCAAUAUUCCAACUAUGACCUUUGUAUAAUCACUGUUUAUCACACGUUUAAAUUGGUGGUUUAUGCAUCAGAGAUGUUUUCGGCGCUUUCGGACGAUUUGCACUGUUGUAACGCAUGUAAAUAUGGCAUAUUUUACACAGCCGGUGUAAUAUAUAUAUGGUUGUAUUCAAAGUGUAUUUUUAGGUUUUUGUUUUCUAGUACGUUCCAUUUUGAGUUUCAGGGAUUCUCGUGUGUUUUGUGGCGGCGAGGACCGUACAUGUGUUGAAAGUGGCUUUGGAGAGAAAGUGAGGUGAAACUGUGAAAGAACGUCGAGCAGAUUUAAGACCUCAAGUCUUAAACUCAAGUUUAUCAGUGGAGACAAAAAAGGAAGAAGCUCAGAUCUAAACUGCUGAGAGAGUGAACCUCGAGUUUUUCUCAUACCUGCAGUCGAACAAGUGCAAUUUUUCUGUACAUAGCUGACGUGAAAAGACGUUUGAUAAAAGUCGGCCUUUUGACCAUUUGAGCCUUGAUGUGGUCGAGCAGGAAUUCUCUCUCUUUUGUAAAUGGUUUUUUUUCCUACCAGGUACGGAGCCACUCGAGGGCAAUAAAUUCAGUUUGCAUGAGAACGCACAUUCUCAGUAACUGUACGGAGAGGAUGGAUGGAUGCGUGUUGUUUCGGUUCUUGGUAACUGCACCUUCAUUCGGCGUGUGAGCAAAUAGCCAGAUGAGAAGUGAAGUGAAGCUUUUUCUACGAGAAGUUGCAGGAUGGAAUGUUUGGUGCGUCUCGGGUCGUCUCGUUCUCCUGUAACUGACCCGAGUUCAGCAUUUAAACUUUUGUCAGUGUAACUGAACUACUGAGUCCAGUGAGACGAUAAAACUCACAUCUGUUCUCACCUCUUAUUUAUUAUUUACCCCUCGAAUUUCUAAUAUGCUUUGGAAGUUUUACUGUAACAGUGCAGGUGACUUUGUUAUGUAUAUAUUUAUGUUGGACUUUUGGAUCAGGUCGAGGACAGUUGGUUUAAAAAGGCCUCCGUGUUAUUACCAUGCAACUGAUCUCAUGCUUAACUUAAAUUGGAGUUUAUUUUGAGAGAAUUAUAUUAUAUGGAUUAUUAUUUUGGAGAAGAUUAAGAUUUGCUCAUAGUCUAAUAGCGUUAUAGAUUUGUUUUUCCCUAAAAGGUCCCGGACAAAAUGGGACAUUAUAUAUAGGAAAUGUUACUUUAUGACUUAGAUUUACUGUAACCAAAGGAAGAAUUAAUUUUUAAAUUGUCCUUUAAUUAAUGCUCAUAAUUCAUCUUGAAGAAUGUAUUUUCAAUACCACAUUGGCAUUUUGGCCACAAUGCUCAGACUCGUCUUUAGAAGCACAACUUUUAAAAAAAACAACAAACCCAUAACAUAUGACUUUAACUACAUUUGGUUCUAACUGCACAGUCCAGAAGCCAUACUGAUUAAAAACAAGUGGUAAUAUUUCUAUGAAAUGUAUUUUUUUCUUUUGUAUUAUAAUAUGUAAAUGUGUGAAGUUGUUGCUAAAAGCUGAAACUUUUUUUUCUAUACAACCUUUUACAAAACAUGUUUUAAGUCCAGUUACAGUAUUUUGGUCGAGUAUCUAAUUCAGCUACUCAUUCAGUGUCUACUUUUUUUUUCUCUUUUUACAAACUUUCAGUUGACCAGUGUUAUAAAGUUUUGCUGUUCAAUUCCUAAUCACCACAAAUACAAGUUGGCAAAAAUGUGCAUGUUUAAUUAUCAGGAUAACUUGGUUGCUAAAAUUGAACUUGAUCCAUCUCUGUAGCUUCUGUACUCAUCCAUUUAGUUGCAUCCUCUUCUUCAUUGUGGUCAGCAGCAUUUACUCUGCUCAUCUAAAGUUGCAAUAAAUUUUAUUUUUGCAUAA
This is a non-coding RNA of Paralichthys olivaceus (Japanese flounder), 2597 nucleotides long. Lineage: Eukaryota; Metazoa; Chordata; Actinopteri; Pleuronectiformes; Paralichthyidae. The record is from RefSeq and is a predicted model, not a curated record.